UACGUAGGGGGCAAGCGUUAUCCGGAUUUACUGGGUGUAAAGGGAGCGUAGACGGCAGCGCAAGUCUGGAGUGAAAUGCCGGGGCCCAACCCCGGAACUGCUUUGGAAACUGUGCAGCUCGAGUGCAGGAGAGGUAAGCGGAAUUCCUAGUGUAGCGGUGAAAUGCGUAGAUAUUAGGAGGAACACCAGUGGCGAAGACGGCUUACUGGACUGUAACUGACGUUGAGGCUCGAAAGCGUGGGGAGCAAACAGG
Molecule: ribosomal RNA, 253 nt
Filed under: uncultured bacterium
Lineage: Bacteria
Description: partial 16S ribosomal RNA
Rfam family: Bacterial small subunit ribosomal RNA
Source: RNAcentral